This 403-nucleotide ribosomal RNA is filed under the name Fusobacteriota bacterium. RNAcentral describes it as "Fusobacteria bacterium partial 16S ribosomal RNA". It matches the Rfam family "Bacterial small subunit ribosomal RNA", at positions 355 to 776 of the family's 1533-position model. Lineage: Bacteria; Fusobacteriati; Fusobacteriota. The record is from RNAcentral.
UGGGGAAUUUUGCACAAUGGGGGAAACCCUGAUGCAGCGACGCCGCGUGUACGAUGAAGAUCUUCGGAUUGUAAAGUACUGUCCUUGGUGAAGAUAAUGACUGUAACCAAGAAGCAAGCCCUGGCUAAAUACGUGCCAGCAGCCGCGGUAAUACGUAUGGGGCAAGCGUUGUCCGGAAUUAUUGGGCGUAAAGGGUACGUAGGCGGUUAUUUAAGUCUAAAUUAAAAGGCAUUGGCUCAACCAAUGUAAGGUUUAGAUACUGGAUAACUUGAGUAGAUGAGGGGAAAGUGGAAUUCCAUGUGUAGCGGUGAAAGGCGUAGAUAUAUGGAGGAACACCAAUGGCGAAGGCAACUUUCUGGAAUCAAACUGACGCUGAGGUACGAAGGCGUGGGGAGCAAACAGG